Molecule: non-coding RNA, 439 nt
Organism: Megalopta genalis
Lineage: Eukaryota; Metazoa; Arthropoda; Insecta; Hymenoptera; Halictidae
Source: RefSeq, a predicted model, not a curated record
CGUGCACCGAAGGAUGGUAGACGACGAUGUUUUAAGAUUAAAUAGUAUCUUACGAAAUUGAAUAUUGUUACGUAUUUUCUCUCGAUUAGCAUCCGCCUGUUUGUAACGUGCCAACGUAACAGCUGGUGGACCUUUACAUUUCAAUGAAAUGUCUACUAAGUGUAUGGAUGAAAGUUUAGAAGAAGGUUGCACACUGCAACAACAUUACUGUAUAACGCUGGGUGUAGGGCCUCUGUGGUGGUCCUGAUGUGCCCCAUGCCGCAUUGUCUGUAUCCACAGUCAACACAGAGAGCCGCGGCGUGGGGAUCAAGCAGAGUCAGCUCUCUGUGAGCUCCCACAUUGUACAAGAGGAUGAAUUAUUAAAAGCCGUGCGAAAUAGUGAAUCUUUGCGUUUGACCUUCACGUUACACUUGACCGAGAGCACAUCCGUCGAGUGGGA